GUAGUCUCGCACAGAUGCAUAUCAAUAAGCGGAGGAAAAGAAACUAACAAGGAUUCCCCUAGUAACGGCGAGUGAAGCGGGAAGAGCUCAAAUUUGAAAUCUUCAAGGGUUUACCUUUACGAAUUGUAGUUUAAAGAAGUGUUUUCUGUUGAAGGUUUUGGUAAAAGUUCUUUGGAAUAGGACAUCAUAGAGGGUGAGAAUCCCGUAUUUGACCAUUUACUUUUCAACUGUGUGAUACACUUUCAAAGAGUCGGAUUGUUUGGGAAUGCAGUCCAAAAUGGGUGGUAAAUUUCAUCUAAAGCUAAAUAUUGGCGAGAGACCGAUAGCGAACAAGUACCGUGAGGGAAAGAUGAAAAGAACUUUGAAAAGAGAGUUAAACAGUACGUGAAAUUGUCAAAAGGGAAGCGUUUGACACCAGUGUUGUUUUCUCGAAAAUCAAUUAAAAAGAGUUAGAUUUUGUUGUGUAUUGACCUUAACAGCUUGCAUUUCAAUUUUCUUGCUUUUUUUAAUGCACUUUUCGUUUAACAAGUCAACAUCAGUUUCUUUUGUUGUAAAAAGGUCAUUGGAAGGUGGCUUUCUUUUCGGAGAAAGUGUUUAUAGCCUUUGACUCCUGCAAUCGGAGAGACUGAGGUCUGCAGCGUAGAUCCUUCGGGGUUAGAUAGCAUUUGUGCUAAGUUAUAGCUUUUUAUAGACAACUUGUUGACUAUGAUUAGUCUUGUAGCUUACUCGCUUAUGCUAUUUUACCUACGCUUAGGAUGUUGAUGUGAUACUGCGAGCA
This 778-nucleotide ribosomal RNA is filed under the name uncultured Neocallimastigales. RNAcentral describes it as "partial large subunit ribosomal RNA". It matches the Rfam family "Eukaryotic large subunit ribosomal RNA", at positions 24 to 629 of the family's 3401-position model. Lineage: Eukaryota; Fungi; Neocallimastigomycota; Neocallimastigomycetes; Neocallimastigales. The record is from RNAcentral.